RNAcentral lists this long non-coding RNA (212 nucleotides) under Lonchura striata (white-rumped munia). RNAcentral describes it as "domestica (Bengalese finch) lncRNA (ENSLSDG00000001452.1)". The record is from RNAcentral. Lineage: Eukaryota; Metazoa; Chordata; Aves; Passeriformes; Estrildidae.
ACCUGGGACAGGUGAGACAUGGACAGGUGAGACACACCUGGGACAGGUGAGACAUGGGACAGGUGAGACAGGUGAGGGACACAUGGGACAGGUGAGACAGGUGAGACACACCUGGGACAGGUGAGACACACCUGGGACAGGUGAGACAGGUGAGACAGGUGAGAGAUGGACAGGUGAGACACACCUGGGACAGGUGAGACAGGUGAGAUUGG